CCAAGGCUAAAUACUCCCUAGUGAUCGAUAGUGAACCAGUACCGUGAGGGAAAGGUGAAAAGCACCCCGGAAGGGGAGUGAAAGAGAUCCUGAAACCGUGUGCCUACAAAUAGUCAGAGCCCGUUAAUGGGUGAUGGCGUGCCUUUUGUAGAAUGAACCGGCGAGUUACGAUCCCGUGCGAGGUUAAGCUGAAGAGGCGGAGCCGCAGCGAAAGCGAGUCUGAAUAGGGCGUUUAGUACGUGGUCGUAGACCCGAAACCAGGUGAUCUACCCAUGUCCAGGGUGAAGUUCAGGUAACACUGAAUGGAGGCCCGAACCCACGCACGUUGAAAAGUGCGGGGAUGAGGUGUGGGUAGCGGAGAAAUUCCAAUCGAACCUGGAGAUAGCUGGUUCUCCCCGAAAUAGCUUUAGGGCUAGCCUUAAGUGUAAGAGUCUUGGAGGUAGAGCACUGAUUGGACUAGGGGUCCUCAUCGGAUUACCGAAUUCAGUCAAACUCCGAAUGCCAAUGACUUAUCCUUAGGAGUCAGACUGCGAGUGAUAAGAUCCGUAGUCAAAAGGGAAACAGCCCAGACCGCCAGCUAAGGUCCCAAAGUGUGUAUUAAGUGGAAAAGGAUGUGGAGUUGCUUAGACAACUAGGAUGUUGGCUUAGAAGCAGCCACCAUUUAAAGAGUGCGUAAUAGCUCACUAGUCGAGUGACUCUGCGCCGAAAAUGUACCGGGGCUAAAUACACCACCGAAGCUGCGGAUUGAUACCAAUGGUAUCAGUGGUAGGGGAGCGUUCUAAGGACAGUGAAGUCAGACCGGAAGGACUGGUGGAGUGCUUAGAAGUGAGAAUGCCGGUAUGAGUAGCGAAAGACGGGUGAGAAUCCCGUCCACCGAAUGCCUAAGGUUUCCUGAGGAAGGCUCGUCCGCUCAGGGUUAGUCAGGACCUAAGCCGAGGCCGACAGGCGUAGGCGAUGGACAACAGGUUGAUAUUCCUGUACCACCUCUUUAUCGUUUGAG
Molecule: ribosomal RNA, 1000 nt
Filed under: Bacillus anthracis (anthrax bacterium)
Lineage: Bacteria; Bacillati; Bacillota; Bacilli; Caryophanales; Bacillaceae
Description: partial 23S ribosomal RNA
Rfam family: Bacterial large subunit ribosomal RNA
Source: RNAcentral